Molecule: ribosomal RNA, 396 nt
Filed under: uncultured bacterium
Lineage: Bacteria
Description: bacterial SSU rRNA
Rfam family: Bacterial small subunit ribosomal RNA
Source: RNAcentral
GACGAACGCUGGCGGCGUGCUUAACACAUGCAAGUCGAGCGGUAAGGCCCUUUCGGGGGUACACGAGCGGCGAACGGGUGAGUAACACGUGGGUGACCUGCCCUCAGCUCUGGGAUAAGCCUGGGAAACCGGGCCUAAUACUGGAUAUGACUCCAUGACGCAUGUUGUGGGGUGGAAAGCCUUGUGCGGCUGAGGAUGGGCCCGCGGCCUAUCAGCUUGUUGGUGGGGUGAUGGCCUACCAAGGCGACGACGGGUAGCCGGCCUGAGAGGGCGACCGGCCACACUGGGACUGAGACACGGCCCAGACUCCUACGGGAGGCAGCAGUGGGGAAUCUUGCGCAAUGGGCGAAAGCCUGACGCAGCGACGCCGCGUGAGGGAUGACGGCCUCGGUGUAA